AAUACGACUCUCGGCAACGGAUAUCUCGGCUCUCGCAUCGAUGAAGAACGUAGCGAAAUGCGAUACUUGGUGUGAAUUGCAGAAUCCCGUGAACCAUCGAGUCUUUGAACGCAAGUUGCGCCCAAGGCCUUUCGGCCGAGGGCACAUCUGCUUGGGCGUUAA
This 162-nucleotide ribosomal RNA is filed under the name Piper boquetense. RNAcentral's name for it is "5.8S ribosomal RNA". It matches the Rfam family "5.8S ribosomal RNA". Rfam says of the family: 5.8S ribosomal RNA (5.8S rRNA) is a component of the large subunit of the eukaryotic ribosome. It is transcribed by RNA polymerase I as part of the 45S precursor that also contains 18S and 28S rRNA. Lineage: Eukaryota; Viridiplantae; Streptophyta; Magnoliopsida; Piperales; Piperaceae. The record is from RNAcentral.